This 301-nucleotide ribosomal RNA is filed under the name uncultured bacterium. Its description in RNAcentral is "partial 16S ribosomal RNA". It matches the Rfam family "Bacterial small subunit ribosomal RNA", at positions 509 to 808 of the family's 1533-position model. The record is from RNAcentral.
CAGUAGCCGCGGGAACACCGAGGGUGCAAGCGUUAAUCGGAAUUACUGGGCGUAAAGCGCGCGUAGGUGGUUUGUUAAGUUGGAUGUGAAAGCCCCGGGCUCAACCUGGGAACUGCAUCCAAAACUGGCAAGCUAGAGUACGGUAGAGGUGGUGGAAUUUCCUGUGUAGCGGUGAAAUGCGUAGAUAUAGGAAGGAACACCAGUGGCGAAGGCGACCACCUGGACUGAUACUGACACUGAGGUGCGAAAGCGUGGGGAGCAAACAGGAUUAGAUACCCGCGUAGUCCCUGUCUCUUAUACA